This 1349-nucleotide long non-coding RNA is filed under the name Apis mellifera (honey bee). RNAcentral describes it as "uncharacterized LOC102653946, transcript variant X3". The record is from RNAcentral. Lineage: Eukaryota; Metazoa; Arthropoda; Insecta; Hymenoptera; Apidae.
UAAUAUAAAUGAAAUAACCAUUCGAACUUAAAUCGUCUGAGCAUAAAUUACAAUUAACCGUAGCAUGCGUGCGCAUCGCAUGAGCGCACGCACGUGCAACUUACGGUAUUAAAUUCAUUUCUGUAUUUUAUCGAAACGUGAAGAGUAAUGCGUUAGAACAGGAAUGCAGCUUAUUAUAAUAUAUAUUUGCAUGUGAAAGAAGAUUAUCAAUUUCUUAUUUGCUAUUUCUUAUCAAGUUAGCUUAUGUUUCGCUAUGAUUAUUCAGAAGAAUAAAAAGGAUGUGAAUUUAAUAUUGUAAUCCAUGUAUAUAAGUGAACGUUAUUUACCAUGUGUCAACUUUGUUCUUACCGAUGGAUUGGGUGUUGUAUAUCAACUUGUAGCAAUUACCGUCUGCCCGACGGUUAAUUAAGGAUUGGGGCAAUGAGGCCCAGCAAUGCAGUUUCCGUGAUAAUAAUUAUCUGCGAUAGUAAUUGAAUAGGUUGUUACGCCGUCGAGCAAAUCGAGACAUCAAAGAACCUAGAAUAAAAAAGAAUCAAGAAAUUUUUGAUAUUUUAUUUAUGAUUACUCGUCUAUUUUUUAUUUGUAUGUUUCUGAAACAUCGUAAGAUGAAUAAUUCUGGUAGCAAAGUUAGUAAGAAAGGAACGCUUGGUGAGGCGAGCGAGCCUGCAGGCAAAACGGCUGGACGAGAUCAUGUGGAUGUAUGUGAACGUGAACAAGUAAUACGUUCAUAGACGAAGAAAAGAAACUUGAUGGUCAGUUUCAGUUGUUUAUUCAGCUCUGGGCCACUGGCAGUACAUAUAACACUGCAACAAAAAUGAAGGGUAGAAAGCUCGAUUCGCCGAGGCAUGACCAACAGAGUACUGCAAAAGCUCAUACAUAUGUAGACGACUCGGACAUCAGGAACCAUGGGGAGGACCCUCCGGAAAAAUGAAUAUGCAGCCCCAUAAAAGUUUGUUCAUUCGUUCAUUCAUAAUGUCGCCAAGGACGAGACUUCUCUGGCUUGUAGAUUGUCAAGGUAGAAGGGACGAGUAGCAACCCUUCAUCGAAGGAGGUGGCGAAGGAAGAAAGAAGAAAGAGGUGAAGCUAGGAGGGGAAGGGAAAGGAAAGAACGAGGCUGAAUGCGGUGACUGUGACGCUUUCCGGUCAGGUGCCGCCCUGACGAUCCUUCUCCUACCAACUUCCACUUGGAUCCACUCAUUCACUUACUUUUACCCUCCUUCAUUUCUUCCUUCUACAACAUCCUACUCGAUGAAGAAAAAAAAAGAAAAGAAAAUAGAAUGCACACAGAAGAAAAUUAUAUUCCUUUUUAAGUCAAGAUCAUGAGAUUUGAAGAAAAGAAGAAAUGGAAU